Molecule: ribosomal RNA, 253 nt
Filed under: uncultured bacterium
Lineage: Bacteria
Description: partial 16S ribosomal RNA
Rfam family: Bacterial small subunit ribosomal RNA
Source: RNAcentral
UACGUAGGGCGCAAGCGUUAUCCGGAAUUAUUGGGCGUAAAGAGCUCGUAGGCGGUUUGUCGCGUCUGCCGUGAAAGUCCGGGGCUCAACUCCGGAUCUGCGGUGGGUACGGGCAGACUAGAGUGAUGUAGGGGAGACUGGAAUUCCUGGUGUAGCGGUGAAAUGCGCAGAUAUCAGGAGGAACACCGGUGGCGAAGGCGGCGACCUGGGUAGAUACUGACGCUGAGGUGCGAAAGCGUGGGGAGCAAACAGG